RNAcentral lists this unclassified non-coding RNA (234 nucleotides) under Glomeraceae sp. RNAcentral's name for it is "partial contains 5.8S ribosomal RNA and internal transcribed spacer 2". The stretch from base 1 to 71 matches the Rfam family "5.8S ribosomal RNA", at positions 84 to 154 of the family's 154-position model. The record is from RNAcentral. Lineage: Eukaryota; Fungi; Glomeromycota; Glomeromycetes; Glomerales; Glomeraceae.
GUGAAUCAUCGAAUCUUUGAACGCAAAUUGCACUCCCUGGUAUUCCGGGGAGUAUGCCUGUUUGAGGGUCAGUUUGAAUAAAAAUCGGUGUGGUUGCUGCCUUUCGUGGUGACGCACCGGAUUUGGGUCGUCUUGCCUUCGGUUAAGCGACCUAAAAUUGUGCAUUAUUUUUUUCGAACGUAUUUAAUUGAUUUUACUUACGUUUGCGAGAUAGAAUACUAGGUGUUGUCAUCC